RNAcentral lists this ribosomal RNA (467 nucleotides) under uncultured bacterium. RNAcentral's name for it is "partial 16S ribosomal RNA". The stretch from base 20 to 311 matches the Rfam family "Bacterial small subunit ribosomal RNA", at positions 47 to 358 of the family's 1533-position model. The record is from RNAcentral.
GACGAACGCUGGCGGCGUGCUUAACACAUGCAAGUCGAACGGAAAGGCCCUGCUUUUGUGGGGUGCUCGAGUGGCGAACGGGUGAGUAGCACGUGAGUAACCUGCCCUUGACUUUGGGAUAACUUCAGGAAACUGGGGCUAAUACCGGAUAGGAGCUCCUGCUGCAUGGUGGGGGUUGGAAAGUUUCGGCGGUUGGGGAUGGACUCGCGGCUUAUCAGCUUGUUGGUGGGGUAGUGGCUUACCAAGGCUUUGACGGGUAGCCGGCCUGGGAGGGUGACCGGCCCCAGGGGGAUAGGGGAGGCGGCAGAGGGCAAUAGGGGGGAAGGGGGGGGAAAAUGUGGCAGAGGGGCCGAGGCUUUGAGGAAGGACCCCGGGUGGGGAAGUACGGCCUGCGGGGGGGAAACGCGUUUAGUCUAUACCGAAGCGUAGUGACGGGAAAUGGGGAAGAAGGACCGGCUAACUCCGUG